AUUUGCAACUGUGCGACGUUGAGAGCACGUCGUCCCUUCCGAUCAUGCAAGUUUGGCAACGUUGGGCCUGGUUAGUACUUGGAUCGGAGACGGCUUGGGAGUCCCAUUUGUCAUAAGAU
This 119-nucleotide ribosomal RNA is filed under the name Ancylostoma duodenale. Lineage: Eukaryota; Metazoa; Nematoda; Chromadorea; Rhabditida; Ancylostomatidae. The record is from RNAcentral.